UAAACGGCUCUUUUUAGAGCCACCCUAUUUUUUAAGAGGCCUAAUG
This is a non-coding RNA of Ciona savignyi (Pacific transparent sea squirt), 46 nucleotides long. The record is from Rfam. NCBI's taxonomy places the organism in Eukaryota, Metazoa, Chordata, Ascidiacea, Phlebobranchia, Cionidae.